RNAcentral lists this ribosomal RNA (497 nucleotides) under uncultured Clostridium sp. RNAcentral describes it as "bacterial SSU rRNA". It matches the Rfam family "Bacterial small subunit ribosomal RNA", at positions 505 to 997 of the family's 1533-position model. Lineage: Bacteria; Bacillati; Bacillota; Clostridia; Eubacteriales; Clostridiaceae. The record is from RNAcentral.
GUGCCAGCAGCCGCGGUAAUACGUAGGUGGCAAGCGUUGUCCGGAUUUACUGGGCGUAAAGGGAGCGUAGGUGGAUAUUUAAGUGGGAUGUGAAAUACUCGGGCUUAACCUGGGUGCUGCAUUCCAAACUGGAUAUCUAGAGUGCAGGAGAGGAAAGUAGAAUUCCUAGUGUAGCGGUGAAAUGCGUAGAGAUUAGGAAGAAUACCAGUGGCGAAGGCGACUUUCUGGACUGUAACUGACACUGAGGCUCGAAAGCGUGGGGAGCAAACAGGGUUAGAUACCCUGGUAGUCCACGCCGUAAACGAUGGGUACUAGGUGUAGGAGGUAUCGACUCCCCCCUGUGCCGCCGUUAACACAAUAAGUACCCCCGCCUGGGGAGUACGGUCGCAAGAUUAAAACUCAAAGGAAUUGACGGGGCCGGCCACAAGCAGCGGCAGCAUGUGGUUUAAUUCGAAGCAACGCGAAGAACCUUACCUAGACUUGACAUCUCCUGAAUU